RNAcentral lists this ribosomal RNA (484 nucleotides) under uncultured bacterium. Its description in RNAcentral is "partial 16S ribosomal RNA". It matches the Rfam family "Bacterial small subunit ribosomal RNA", at positions 29 to 507 of the family's 1533-position model. The record is from RNAcentral.
AAUGAACGCUGGCGGCAGGCCUAACACAUGCAAGUCGAGCGGACGAAGGGAGCUUGCUCCUGGAUUCAGCGGGGGACGGGCGAGUAAUGCAUAGGAAUCUGCCUGGUAGUGGGGGAUAACGUCCGGAAACGGGCGCUAAUACCGCAUACGUCCUGAUGGAGAAAGUGGGGGAUCUUCGGACCUCACGCUAUCAGAUGAGCCUAGGUCGGAUUAGCUAGUUGGUGGGGUAAAGGCCUACCAAGGCGACGAUCCGUAACUGGUCUGAGAGGAUGAUCAGUCACACUGGAACUGAGACACGGUCCAGACUCCUACGGGAGGCAGCAGUGGGGAAUAUUGGACAAUGGGCGAAAGCCUGAUCCAGCCAUGCCGCGUGUGUGAAGAAGGUCUUCGGAUUGUAAAGCACUUUUAGUUGGGAGGAACAGCAGUAAGUUAAUACCUUGCUGUUUUGACGGUACCAACAGAAUAAGCACCGGCUAACUACGUG